UGCUUGCAGGAACAAAGACCUUCGUGGUCAGGUUGAUCGUGCCCCCGCGUGAUCAAUAACCCUAUGGAGUUGGUGUAUCGAUUGCUAAGACGCUGCUUCCUAGGCCGUAGUCGCAUCGUCAACGUCACCUCCUACCCAAAUGGAGAGUUAUCAAUCUCAUCAAAAGAUCGGGCCACCCCGACCCACAUCAACUAAGGGACCAUGCCUAGGUUGUCCGUACAAUGGUCCAAUGUUGUUUCGUUUCGGUGAGUAGCUUUGCUUGGUGUGCUCAUCCUAGUACCCGAAAUGGACCCGACUCCGAUUAGAAGUUUAGCACCGACUCCGAUCUGGCCGAAUGGUCCGUCCUAGUGAGGGACGAUGCCUAGCGAGUCCCUACAAGUGGUCUAGUCCUGCUUCGCUUCGAUGAGUAGCUUUGCUUAGUGUGCUCAUCCUAGUACCCGAAAUGGACCCGACUCCGAUUAGAAGUUUAGCACCGACUCCGAUCUGGCUGAAUUGUCCGUCCUAGUGAGGGACCAUGCCUAGCGGGUCCGUACAAGUGGUCUAGUCUUAUUUCGCUUCGAUGAGUAGCUUUGCUUUGUGUGCUCAUCCUAGUACCCUAAAUGGACCCGACUCCGAUUAGAAGUUUAGCACCGACUCCGAUCUGGCUGAAUUGUCCGUCCUAGUGAGGGAGCAUGCCUAGCGAGUCCAUACAAGUGGUAUAGUCUUGUUUCGCUUCGAUGAGUAGAUUUGUUUGGUUUGCUCCUCCUAGUACGUCAAACGGGCCCGUUCCAGAUCAAAGUUUAGCACGGACUCCGAUGUGGCUGAAUUUUCCGCCCUAGUAGGGGAACAUGCCUAGCGAGUCCCUACAAGUGGUCUAGUCUUGUUUUGCUUCGAUGAGUAGCUUUGUUUGGUGUGCUCGUCCUAAUACCUUAAAUGGACACAUUCCGGAUCAAAGUUUAGCACCGACUUUGAUUUGGCUGGAUUGUCCGUUCUAGUUAGAGGCCAUGGCUAGCGAGUCCCUACAAGUGGUCUAGACUUGUUUCCCUUUGAUGAGUAGCUUUGUUUUGUGUUCUCAUCUUAUAACGUCAAAAGGACCCGUUCCGGAUCAAAGUUUAGCAAAGACUCUGAUUUGGCUGAAUUUUCCGUCCUAGUGAGGAAACAUGUCUAGCGAGUCCCUACAAGUGGUCUAGUCUUGUUUCGCUUCGAUUAGUAGCUUUGUUCGUUGUGCUCAUCCUAAUAACUUAAAUGGACACGUUACGGAUCAAAGUUUAGCACCGACUUCGAUUUGGCUGGAUUGUCCGCCCCAGUGAGAGGCCAUGGCUGAUAUGGGUCGUGGUGGCCCGAUCUUUCGAUGAGAUUGGUAACUCUCGAUUUGGGUUGGAGGUGACGUUGACGAUCCGACUAUGGCCUAGGAGGCAGCGCCUUAGCAAUCGAUACACCAACUCCAGAGGGUUAUUGAUCACGCGGGGGCACGAUCAACCUGACCACGAAGGUCUUUGUUCCUGCAAGCAAUCGAAGAACAAGCAAGAACAAGAUAAAUAGCGGAUGCAAUCUAAAAUUGCGAAUAUACUAUAUCAAACCAAUGUCCCAACGAGACGAUAAGUUGGAGUCUUGACGACGGUAAAACAGGUGGUCUAACCGACACACGCGAUUACACGAAAGUAGCAAAGAUGGCUAAACUUUAUCUAAUCAAAACCCAAGGCUCCUUAGGGGGGGCUCAUGGGGUAUAUAAAGGAGGAGGGAGAGAUAUUUUCGUCCACCUUGAGUAAGGAGGCCGAAAUCCAACUCUAUCUCUAACUUUCCUAACAAACUACAACUCUUUAGGAAACAGAAAAACAGAUCCGUCAGCUUGUUUUGUCCAUCACGGUCAGCACGAGUCGAAUCUCUUGAUGUGGCCAGAUCCGUUGGAAAGGUCUUGUAAUUACCUUUUGAACAAGUACUUGUUUGCUUGAUUUGGACUCCGGAUGCUGCCUGGGUGAUUAAAACAAAUUCGGGUCUCCUGGCAGCUCGGACCCGAAUCGGAUUCAACUUUAAUUCGUGAUAUCUUUCUCUAGCAAGCUCCGAAUCAUGUGCCGUUUGAUUUGUGUGAAAAUACACUUGAAAUCCUUCCCUCUCAGCUGUAUGAAUGCUUGAUUCUUGUUGUGCCUCCCGUUCGCCUCCAUCAUAUCUCAUCUUGACCUUGGAUUUGAAAAGCUCGACAAGAUGCCUACGUAAUAAAACGAGACAAGAUAGUAGUAGCUCCGCCUCUUCAUAAAUAUGACAAUGAAAACAAUUACUACUUAAAUUCACCUGAUUAUAAAUCUUGUCAAAUAUUAUAGAAUUGAGGGUAUCAAAGGUCGUAUCCAUGGUUAGCAUGUCCAUAUCAAUGGCUAGCGAGUCCCUACAAGUGGUCUAGACUUGUUUCCCUUUAAUGAGUAGCUUUGUUUGGUGUGCUCAUCUUAUUACGUCAAAAGGACCCGUUCCGGAUAAAAGUUUAGCACCGACUCCGAUUUGGCUGAAAUUUCUGUCCUAGUGAGGGAAAAUAACUAGCGAGUCCCUACAAGUGGUGUAGUCUUGUUUCGCUUCGAUGAGUAACUUUGUUUGGUGGGCUCAUCCCAGUACCUCAAAUGGACCCGUUCUGGAUCAAAGUUUAGCACCGACUCCGAUUUGCCGCAUUGUCCGCCCCAGUGAGGGACCAUGCCUAGCGAGUGCCUACAAGCGGUCUACUCUUGUAUCGCUUCGAUGAGUAGCUUUUUUUGGUGGGCUCAUCCUAGUAUCUCAAAUGGACACGUUCUGGAUCAAAGUUUAGCACUGACUCUGAUUUGGCCGCAUUGUCCGCACCAGUGAGGGACCAUGCCUAGCGAGUCCCUACGAGCGGUCUACUGUUGUAUCGCUUCGAUGAGUAGCUUUGUUUGGUUGGCUCAUCCUAGUAUCUCAAAUGGACACGUUCUGGAUCAAAGUUUAGCACCGACUCCGAUUUCGCCGAACUGUCCCUCAUACUGAGUGACCAUGCCUAGCGAGUCCGUACCAGUGGUCUAGUUUUGAUUCGCUUAGAUGAGUAGUUUUUUUUGGUGUGAUCAUCCUAGUACCUCAAAUGGACAUGUUCCGGAUAAAAGUUUAGCACCGACUCCGAUUUGGCCGAAUUGUACGUCUUAGUGAAGGACCAAGCCUAGCGAGUCCCUACAAGUGGUCUAGUCUUGUUUCGUUUCGAUGAGUAGCUUUGUUUGGUGGGCUAAUCCCACUACCUCAAAUGGACACGUUCUGGAUCAAAGUUUAGCACCGUCUACGAUUUGGCCGCAUUGUCCGCCCCAAUGAGGGACCAUGCCUAGCGAGUCCCUAAAAGUGGUCUACCUUGUAUCGCUUCGAUGAGUAGCUUUGUUUGGUGGGCUCAUCCUAGUAUCUCAAAUGGACACGUUCUGGAUCAAAGUUUAGCACAGACUCCGAUUUGGCCGAACUGUCCGUCCUACUGAGGGACCAUGCCUAGCGAGUCCGUACCAGUGGUCUAGUUUUGAAUCCCUUAUGUGAGUACCUUUAUUUGGUGUGCUCAUCCUAGUACCUCAAAUGGACACGUUCCGGAUAAAAGUUUAGCACCGACUUUGAUUUGGCUGGAUUGUCCGUUGUAGUGAGACGCCAUGGCUCGCGAAUCCUAACAAGUGGUCUAGACUUGUUUCCCUUUGAUGAGUAGCUUUGUUUGGUGUGCUCAUCAUAUAACGUCAAAAGGACCCGUUCCGGAUAAAAGUUUAGCACCGACUCCGAUUUGGCUGAAUUUUCCGCCCUAGUAGGGGAACAUGCCUAGCGAGUCCCUACAAGUGGUCUAGUCUUGUUUUGCUUCGAUGAGUAGCUUUGUUUGGUGUGCUCGUCCUAAUACCUUAAAUGGACACAUUCCGGAUCAAAGUUUAGCACCGACUUCGAUAUGGCUGGAUUGUCCGUUCUAGUUAGAGGCCAUGGCUAGGGAGUCCCUACAAGUGGUCUAGACUUGUUUCCCUUUGAUGAGUAGCUUUGUUUUGUGUUCUCAUCUUAUAACGUCAAAAGGACCCGUUCCGGAUCAAAGUUUAGCACCGACUCCGAUUUGGCUGAAUUUUCCGCCCUAGUGAGGGAACAUGCCGAGCGAGUCCGUACAAGUGGCCUAGUCUUGUUUCGCUUCGAUGAGUAGCUUGGUUUGGUGGGCUCAUCCCAGUACCUCGAAUGGACACGUUCUGGAUUAAAGUUUAGCACCGACUCCGAUUUGGCCGCAUUGUGCGCCCCAGUGAGGGACCAUGCCUAGCGAGUCCCUACGAGCGGUCUACUCUUGUAUCGCUUGGAUGAGUAGCUCUGUUUGGUUGGCUCACCCUAGUAUCUCAAAUGGACACAUUCUGGAUCAAAGUUUAGCACCGACUCCGAUUUUGCCGAACUGUCCCUCCUACUGAGGGACCAUGCCUUGCGAGUCCGUACCAGUGGUCUAGUUUUAAUUCGCUUAGAUGAGUAGUUUUGUUUGGUGUGAUCAUCCUAGUACCUCAAAUGGACACGUUCCGGAUAAAACUUUAGCACCGACUCUGAUUUGGCUGAAUUGUACGUCUUAGUGAAGGACCAUGCCUAGCGAGUCCCUAUAAGUGGUCUAGUCUUGUUUCGUUUCGAUGAGUAGCUUUGUUUGGUGGGCUCAUCCCAAUACCUCAAAUGGACACGUUCUGGAUCAAAGUUUAGCACCGACUAUGAUUUGGCCGCAUUGUCCGCCCCAAUGAGGGACCAUGCCUAGCGAGUCCCUACAAGUGGUCUAGUCUUGUUUCGCUUCGAUGAGUAGUUUUACUUGGUGUGCUCAUCCUAGUACCUCAAAUGGACACGUUCCGGAUAAAAGUUUAGCACCGACUUUGAUUUGGCUGGAUUGUCCGUUGUAGUGAGACGCCAUGGCUAGCGAAUCCUAACAAGUGGUCUAGACUUGUUUCCCUUUGAUGAGUAGCUUUGUUUCGUGUGCUCAACUUAUAACGUCAAAAGGACCCGUUCCGGAUAAAAGUUUAGCACCGACUCCGAUUUGGCUGAAAUUUCUGUCCUAGUGAGGGAAAAUGCCUAGCGAGUCCCUACAACUGGUCUAGCCUUGUUUCGCUUCGAUGAGUAGCUUUGUUUGGUUGGCUCAUCCCAGUACCUCAAAUGGACACGUUCUGGAUCAAAGUUUAGCGCCGACUCCGAUUUGGCCGCAUUGUGCGCCCCAGUGAGGGACCAUGCCUAGCGUGUCCCUACAAGCGGUGAUAUGGACAUGCUAACCAUGGAUACGACCAUUAGAACCCUAAUUGUUGGUGUCUCUAAUAAUUAUAAUCUGGUGAAUUCAAUUACAAAAUGUUUUCAAUAUGUUAUUUGCAAAGAGGCGGAGCUACUAUCUUGUGUUAUCUUAUUAUGUAGGCAUCUUAUUGAACUUUACAAGUCCAAAGUGAAGAUGAAGAGUUAUAGCCUGCAAAGGGAGAUUCAAAGUGAAGCCUAUCAAGUCUACUUUCCAACAAAUCAAACGGCACAUGAUUCGGAGCUUGCUAGAGAAAGAUAUCACGAAUUAAAGUUGAAUCCGAUUCGGAUCCGAGCUGUCAGGAGACCCGAAUUUGUUUUAAUCACCCAGGCCGCAUCCGGAGUCCAAAUCAAGCAAACAAGUACUUGUUGGAAAGUUAAUUACAAGACCUUUCCAACGGAUCUGGCCCCAUCAAGAGAUUCGACUCGUGCUGACCGUGGCGGACAAAACAAGCAGACGGAUCUGUUUUUGUGUUUUUCCUAAAGAGUUGUACUUUGUUAGGAAAGUUAGAGAUAGAGUUGGAUUUCGGACUCCUUAUUCAAGGUGAACGAAAAUAUCUCUCCCUCCUCCUUUAUAUACCCCAUGAGCCCCCCUAAGGAGCCUUGGGUUUUGUUUAGUUAAAAGUUAGCCAUCGCUAAUACUUCGUGUAAUCGCAUGUGUCGGUUAGACCACCUGUUUUACCGCUUUCGGAACCCCAACUUAUCGUCUCGUUGAGAUAUUGGUUUGAUAUAGUAUAUUCGCAAUUUUAGAUUGCAUCCGCUAUUUAUCUUGUUCUUGCUUCUUCUUCGAUUGCUUGCAGGAACAAAGACCUUCGUGGUCAGGUUGAUCGUGCCCCCGCGUGAUCAAUAACCCUCUGGAGUUGGUGUAUCGAUUGCUAAGGCGCUGCCUCCUAGGCCGUAGUCGGAUCGUCAACGUCACCUCCUACCCAAAUCGAGAGUUACCAAUCUUAUCGAAAGAUCGGGCCACCCGCACCCGUAUCAAGUGGUAUCAGAGCUUAAGGUUGCUCGGUGAGAUUUUUCCAGUUUAUCCCUAGUUUAGAUCUGUUUUUACCUAUCGCCCAGAAAAAGCCAACAAAAAUUAGAAUUAGUUACCUUGUCCUAUAACCAAUCUGAGCCUUGCAAUUUUCACUUUAGUAUUUGCAUUGUUGAAUCUUUGCUGCAUUAAUCGUGUCGAGUUGCUGGAUUAGAUUGGAUCGUUUUUCAGAUUUUUUUCUACUAGAUCGAACUUGCUUUUGGUUUUCUUGUUCUUCGUGUGACGCAGGUUUCCUUCAUCAAUCUUCCGCCGCCAAACUUCCUGCCACACCACCGCCAUAAUCUCCCGCCGCCACCAUAUCUUCCACCGAGUCUCUCUUCGAGUCCUACACCGAGUCCCUCUUCGACUCCUACACCGAGUCCCUCGUCGAGUCCUACACCGUGUCCUACAUCGAGUUCUACAUUGAGUCGGGCAAGUUAUAGUUUUCAGCCGCAAGUUCGAGUCUGAGUCCAAUCAAGAGUGCUUUUGGAAAGUUUUCAUAAUAGAUCGAAUUUUGUUUAGAGAUCAAGUGGUUCGGAAAGUUGUCAAAAAAAAAGAAAGGAAAGAAAAAAAAGGAAAGAAAGAAAAAAAAAAGAAAAAAAAAAAGAGAAAGAGUUCGAGUCAGUUUCGGACCCGAGUCCGAGUAGAAUUUUAGUUUCGGGUGGGUUUGACCCGUGUUCAGUAAAACGGGCGUAUCUUUUGCGUACCAACUCGGAUUUGGACGUUCUUGGACUUUUUGGAAAGCUCGCGACGAGGCGCAUCAGGAAAUAUCCAGGGUUUUUCCCUGCACUUUGAACCUCAAAUUCGGUUUGUAAGGUGGACUUUCGGAGCUUCCAAGUUUCCGCAUCCGUUUUCCGGCGUCGCUGCAGCCCGGUGUUUCUCAGUUUUCUCCACCGUCCGACAUCCGUUUUGAGUGAUCUUGCCCUUGCUAGAAAGCUUGUGUUGAUACGCUUCUAACCCAUAUUUUUUCAUAUUUUUCUGAAUUUUUCUUACUGCAGCCUUUGCUGUUCUUCGACAGACCGACGUACAGUUUUCCGGUCCUUCGUUUGCGUGAGUUUCUGGGGUUAAAAAAAAAAGAAGAAGAAGAAAAGAAUAAGAAGCCAAACAGAAGGCCACAAAAAGAAAAAAGAAGAAAAAAAUCCCAGCGAUUUACUUGUUGUGCCAUCUUUUGAUCUUUCUAUCCUAUCUUCUUCAGUAUCUAGGCUUAGAUUAUUUCUGUAAUUCAUUCUUAUCGACUCCAGCAGCUAGGACUAGCAUUAUUGAGCAUAUUUUCAACUUUGCAUUGCUGAUUUGAUUAUUUGCUAUUCUUUGCUACUCACAAAAGUCUCCAAGCUCCACAGAUUCUACACCUAGGUUUGUUUGUUACCGAGGCAUCGAUACAUUUAAUCUUCGGAGGGCUUGGUCACGCCGCUGGCCAUCACCUUCCUAUUUUGCAUGGUAAGAACUUGUAAGAACUUGAUUUUUAGAUUAAGAGUUGAGCGACUUGUAGCCACAUCCUAUUAGUUGAUAGGAACAUAUUCCUGUGUUUUGUUUCUUGUCUUAUACUAACCAUGACAGGACUUACACAAAGGAUGGAAAAUAGGCCUAUGCUAUCAAGUGACCAACAUGAGCGUUUUUCACCACAUCCAUCCUCCUCGUCUCUUGUUGACAUUGGCAAGGAAAAGGUAUAUCGCAAUCCUUGUAAUGUCACUAAUUGUUUUGGACCUUUCUUUGAUGGAAAUAAUGAUGCUGAAGCUUAUAUUGAUUGGGAAAUAGCUCUAAUUGAGCAAUUCACAUGCUUCCAUGUACUAGAUAGUCGUAAGGUCCAAAUUGCUAGUAGUAGAUUUCGUUUUGAUGCAUUAUCAUGGUGGCGUGAGAUAGUUAGAGAAAACAAAAUACCUCACACUUGGAUUGAUAUGAAGAAAAUCA
Molecule: long non-coding RNA, 8125 nt
Filed under: Brachypodium distachyon (stiff brome)
Lineage: Eukaryota; Viridiplantae; Streptophyta; Magnoliopsida; Poales; Poaceae
Description: long non-coding RNA (BDIS_LNC000727)
Source: RNAcentral